GGGUGUAGCUCAGUGGUAAGGUGCUUGCCUAGCAUGAGCAAGGCCUUUGGUUCAAUCCCCAACACCACA
This 69-nucleotide transfer RNA is filed under the name Marmota monax (woodchuck). RNAcentral's name for it is "tRNA.Ala". Lineage: Eukaryota; Metazoa; Chordata; Mammalia; Rodentia; Sciuridae. The record is from RNAcentral.